This 727-nucleotide long non-coding RNA is filed under the name Rattus norvegicus (Norway rat). Its description in RNAcentral is "long non-coding RNA NONRATT012844". Lineage: Eukaryota; Metazoa; Chordata; Mammalia; Rodentia; Muridae. The record is from RNAcentral.
AAUGGAAAGGUAUGCCUCACAUUUUAGAAGUUUUUUAUUAUAAACUUUUCUUGCUGGUUUACACCACAUGUUGUCACUGCUGGAUGACAAUUCUCUUAUUUGGAUUCUAUGCAUUUUCCAUUUUUGUGAAUUCUUUUGUAAGUAUUUGGUCCCUUAGUUUUGUUUCAUUAUUGACUUGUAAAGUUCAUCUUUUAUUGUGUUUGUAUUUAGCUAUGUGUACUCCAAAAUUUCUCUUGUUUUGUGGAAGUUCUGACAGGCCUGAAUCAGGCUCUGUAGACCUAGACUGGCCUUGAAUUGUUUACCGUCUGCAUCCUGAGUGGCUGGUACAAGAGGUGUACUCCACCAUGCCUGGCUAAGGUUUUAAUUCUACCGAUGCUUAAUAUGUUCAGGCCAGAGUCACUCCUAAACCGUUUGUGUCGUUAAUGGGUAUUUCUGCUUAAUUUGUAUAGGUUCGGUUUUCCAGUUUGGCAGCAGCACUACAAAUUUCAACUUCACAAACAAUAAUCCAUCAGGAGUGUUCACAUUUGGUGCAAGUCCCAGCACGCCUGCAGCCGCAGCCCAGCCCUCAGGUUCGGGGGGCUUUUCAUUCAGCCAGUCUCCAGCAUCAUUUACAGUGGGGUCAAAUGGGAAAAAUAUGUUCUCUUCUUCCGGAACUUCAGUUUCUGGUCGCAAGAUAAAGACUGCUGUUAGACGCAAGAAAUAAAGGUCAAAAAGGUGUUAUACCCAA